UAAAUAAUAAUAACCUAAAAAAUGAGGGUUAACGACCGAUUUAAAUACCUUAAUUUUGAUUUCACAAAUUAAAAAAUCAGCGUUUUCACUGAAGGACAAUAGGUAACAAAUUUUAUGAAGUAUAGUACAAAUUUUAGUAAAUUUUGUUUAAUUUAGGGAAAACGUGUAAAAAUGGGAAAUAUUGAUCACGGAGUAGUAUAAGGAGGCUCCACUAGGUGGGCAAAGUGUGAGAAAACCGAGUCCGAUUUUCCGGAAAUUAAUUGCUUCAACUAGGAUUAACCUCACUAGCGGUUCCUAGCGGAAAACUCUUGUAAGCUCUAAAUUUAAACAGUGGCGCGUGUCAAGUGGUGAGAUACCCAAAAAUGCAUUUAUCGUGUUUUUUUAUGUUUUUAGUUACUUGUGUUUAAAAAUUUAUAUCAUUUUUAAAACUUGUAUUUACAGUCAUUAUAAAUCCACCGAGUAAGUAUAUCGUCUAAUUAAAAACUUAUGUAGUUUGAUACAGUAAACAUAACCUACAAUUUCGAUUAUUGUCAAGCACAACAAGGAAUUAUUAUAACUGUGACAAAUUUUAUUUAAAUAAAUAAAUGCAGUUAUUUGUUGUUUUUGUGAUGCUGAGACGUGCUUCAUGUGCUGUUAUUCGUUUUUUUGCACUAUAUCAAAAUCAAACAAGAAAAAGGAGAUUCUUAUAAUUACUGAAAAAUGAAAAGUUGUAAAGACGACGUAGAAAAGUACACAAAUGUUACAGCACAUGCAGAUUCUAAGUUAAUAUUCAAAAAUUUACAAAAUCAAUUGGAAUUUGUUAAAUUACCUGACAAGAGGUGGUGUUAUACAAAAGGAAAUGAAACCUUUUUUGGUUUUCAAAGAGUUGAAGAGAAUUACAAAGUUUUAAAAAGAGUGGGAGUAUUUAAUAAUAUGGAAAUAAGAAUUUAUUUUAACAACAAAGUGAUGCCUUUUUCGCCAUACAUAAAAGUAACUAAUGUCGAAGAAUUUAAUAAUCUUUUAAAAACUAUUAACGAGGUUAACGUGAAUGCAGUAGAAAUGACAAAUGUAAUUUAAAAGAAAAGAACUUCUGAUACGAGCGCCUAAAAUUUACAAACUUUAUACAAUUAUGGUAAUCAACUUGUGAAUUAUAUUUUUGUUUUAUUUAGAUUUUAUUUUAUAUAUUUUAAAAUUUGCAAUAUUAUUUUAUUUUUAAUUUAUACAUGAAAUUUUUAAGUAUAAAAUAGAAAUUUUUAUAGUCUCAAUAUUUUAAUAUUGGAGGAUUUUUAAUUAUUUUAUUGUUAUUGUAUUAAAUAUGUAAUGAAAUGGAAAUUAAUUUUUGAUUUAUACAAGGAAUUUUUUCAUAGUUUUCUAUUUUUGACAUUUAAUAUAUAUUUUUUAAUGCGUUUUAGCUAUUUAGAUGAAUGAAUUUGUAUAUAUUUAUAUUUAUUAAAAAUUGUAUAGAUUAUAAUAAAUAAGAAAUUAAGUGAUUUAUAAAAUGUAGUACAAAAGGUGUCAAUAAAAAUGUAUUUUUUAUUGUA
This is a long non-coding RNA of Leptopilina boulardi, 1520 nucleotides long. RefSeq lists it as uncharacterized. The transcript has 2 exons. The record is from RefSeq and is a predicted model, not a curated record. NCBI's taxonomy places the organism in Eukaryota, Metazoa, Arthropoda, Insecta, Hymenoptera, Figitidae.